AUGCCUUAAACUUAUGAGUAAGGAAAAUAACGAUGCAGGGUGAUGCCUGAAUCCUCACUGCUAAUGCGAGAUGAAUUUUUGAGCGGGUAAACCUUGCCCAUAAGGUGACCUGCUUACUUUGUGGGAUGACUGGGAGUCCCAAUCCGCCUG
Molecule: small nuclear RNA, 150 nt
Filed under: Carlito syrichta (Philippine tarsier)
Lineage: Eukaryota; Metazoa; Chordata; Mammalia; Primates; Tarsiidae
Description: U12 minor spliceosomal RNA (ENSTSYG00000030959.1)
Rfam family: U12 minor spliceosomal RNA
About the family: Although the U12 sequence is very divergent from that of U2, the two are functionally analogous.
Source: Rfam by way of RNAcentral